Long non-coding RNA from Arabidopsis lyrata subsp. lyrata, 514 nucleotides. RefSeq lists it as uncharacterized. NCBI's taxonomy places the organism in Eukaryota, Viridiplantae, Streptophyta, Magnoliopsida, Brassicales, Brassicaceae. The transcript has 2 exons. The record is from RefSeq and is a predicted model, not a curated record.
UUUUCGUCAAACCAUCUGUCGGGAAAAAAAAAACACGUUAGUUGCCGCCGGCGAUUCCUCUGUCUUCUUUCAAUCGUCGUCGCCGGCGAUUCGAAAGCCGUCUCUGUGUCUGGCGCCGUCUUGCUUCCUCUUGAUUUCAGCUUGAAGCUUCCUAUUGGUUUUGGAUCUACAUUACAUCAAAGGUUAUCAAUGGAAAACAAUCUAGGAAGCACGAGUAAGACAUCAGGUACUUUAACAUACUAAUUUUUGUUUGCUAACUGCAACUAUGCACUAUAAUUAGUCAUCACUGUGAAUGGUUUUAUUUACAUAUGUUUGUUUUUUAUGUGCACCCACUACUAAGGAGUUUCCCAAGCUCCUUUUCGGACAUGGUAAAGAGCUUGAAGUUGAGAAAAUUAACAACAGCUGCAGAUUAUCGAUACUUAGGAAAAUCAAAGAUGCUUUGCCACUAGAGUAUAAGAAAGUGAAGUCUGAUCCUCUGUUUGCACAAGUCUUCGCCAUAUACGAAAAUGGUUUA